UCCCUGGUGGUCCAUUGGCUAAGACUUUGUGCUCCCAAUGCAGGGACCUGGGUUCGAUCCCAGGUCAGGGAC
Molecule: transfer RNA, 72 nt
Filed under: Bos taurus (domestic cattle)
Lineage: Eukaryota; Metazoa; Chordata; Mammalia; Artiodactyla; Bovidae
Also listed under: 5 other names
Rfam family: tRNA
About the family: Transfer RNA (tRNA) molecules are approximately 80 nucleotides in length.
Source: Rfam by way of RNAcentral